UACGAAGGGGGCUAGCGUUGUUCGGAAUCACUGGGCGUAAAGCGCACGCAGGCGGCUUGAUACGUCGGGGGUGAAAGCCCCGGGCUCAACCUGGGAAUUGCAUUCGAGACUGAAUAGCUAGGGUACGGGAGAGGGAAGUGGAAUUUCCGGUGUAGCGGUGAAAUGCGUAGAUAUCGGAAGGAACAUCAGUGGCGAAAGCGACUGCCUGGACCAGUACUGACGUUCAGGCACGAAAGCGUGGGGAGCAAACAGG
Molecule: ribosomal RNA, 253 nt
Filed under: uncultured bacterium
Lineage: Bacteria
Description: partial 16S ribosomal RNA
Rfam family: Bacterial small subunit ribosomal RNA
Source: RNAcentral